AGUGAAUAGAUACCCUGGUAGUCCACGCUGUAAACGAUGAGUGCUGGACGUUGGCGGGUUUACCUGCCGGUGUCGCAGCUAACGCGUUAAGCACUCCGCCUGGGGAGUACGGCCGCAAGGUUAAAACUCAAAGGAAUUGACGGGGGCCCGGCACAAGCGGUGGAGCAUGUGGUUUAAAUUCGACGCAACGCGCAGAACCGUUACCAGCCCUUGACAUGGGCGGACGGGUUCCGAGAGAUGGACUCUUUCUCGCAAGAGACCGCUACACAGGUGCUGCAUGGCUGUCGUCAGCUCGUGUCGUGAGAUG
This 307-nucleotide ribosomal RNA is filed under the name uncultured bacterium. RNAcentral describes it as "bacterial SSU rRNA". It matches the Rfam family "Bacterial small subunit ribosomal RNA", at positions 774 to 1074 of the family's 1533-position model. The record is from RNAcentral.